CCUACGGGUGGCAGCAGUGAGGAAUAUUGGUCAAUGGACGAGAGUCUGAACCAGCCAAGUAGCGUGUAGGAUGACUGCCCUAUGGGUUGUAAACUUCUUUUAUAUGGGAAUAAAAUGUUCCACGUGUGGGAUUUUGUAUGUACCAUAUGAAUAAGGAUCGGCUAACUCCGUGCCAGCAGCCGCGGGAAUACGGAGGGUCCGGGCGUUAUCCGGAUUUAUUGGGGUUAAAGGGAGCGUAGGUGGAUUGUUAAGUCAGUUGUGAAAGUUUGCGGCUCAACCGUAAAAUUGCAGUUGAAACUGGCAGUCUUGAGUACAGGAGAGGUGGGCGGAAUUCGUGGUGUAGCGGUGAAAUGCUUAGAUAUCACGAAGAACUCCGAUUGCGAAGGCAGUUCACUGGACUGCAACUGACACUGAGGCUCGAAAGUGUGGGUAUCAAACAGGAUUAGAUACCCGUGUAGUC
This 460-nucleotide ribosomal RNA is filed under the name uncultured bacterium. RNAcentral describes it as "partial 16S ribosomal RNA". It matches the Rfam family "Bacterial small subunit ribosomal RNA", at positions 338 to 795 of the family's 1533-position model. The record is from RNAcentral.